UAAACAUGCACUUAGCCUCCAUGCUUCAUUGCAUGAUCACUGGCUCACUGCUGAUCACUAUUUGGAAGGUAUCAUAUCCAUAGGAUACCAUAAGGACUCUGUAUAGAUUUCUGCAUUUUUCACCUGUAUUGUGACUUCUGAGGUCCUCCAUGUGUGCAUGAAGUUGCUGAUUCCUCUUUUUUUCAUACGAAUGCUUCCCUUUUGAGCUCUGCGUAAUCUGAGUUACCAGAUUCACGAGACGCACCCCUGAUGAAGUCUAGUUCCUAGACGAAACGCGUUGGUUUACUGUAUUUCUUGUUGAUAUUAUCUCCGAAUAUUUAAUGAGGAAGAAUAAGGAUACAACAGAAAGGUUGCCUUCUUUCCUCCAUAUCCCAUUGAUGGAUUUCUGUAGGAGAAACUACAUCAUAAUGUACAUGUAAUAAUGAUGGAUAUACUUCAUGUUUCUGUAUAAUUGUUUUAAUACAUUUUUAUGAAAAGUACA
Pseudophryne corroboree (corroboree frog) is the source of this 481-nucleotide long non-coding RNA. RefSeq lists it as uncharacterized. The record is from RefSeq and is a predicted model, not a curated record. NCBI's taxonomy places the organism in Eukaryota, Metazoa, Chordata, Amphibia, Anura, Myobatrachidae. The transcript has 4 exons.